AUUUAUGUUUGCUUAAAUUGAUCAGCCACAACAUUAAAGCCACUGAAAGGUGAAGUGAAUAACAUUGGUUAUAUUGUUACAAUGGCACCUUUCAAGGGGUGGGAUAUAUUGGGCAGAAAGUCAACAGUCAGUUUUUGAAUUGCAUGUGUUGGAAGCAGGAAAAAUGGGCAAGUGAAAAGAUCUGAGUGACUUUGACAAGGGCCAAAUAGAGAUGGCUAGAUGACUGGGCCAGAGCAUCUCCAAAAAGGCAAGUCUUGUGGGAUGUUCUUGGUAAGCAGUGGUUAGUACCAAAAGUAAUGCAAGGAAGGACAAAUGUUAAACAGGCGUCAGCAUCGUGGG
Non-coding RNA from Pelobates cultripes (western spadefoot toad), 339 nucleotides. NCBI's taxonomy places the organism in Eukaryota, Metazoa, Chordata, Amphibia, Anura, Pelobatidae. The record is from the annotation of a GenBank genome assembly.